This 253-nucleotide ribosomal RNA is filed under the name uncultured bacterium. RNAcentral describes it as "partial 16S ribosomal RNA". It matches the Rfam family "Bacterial small subunit ribosomal RNA", at positions 524 to 776 of the family's 1533-position model. The record is from RNAcentral.
UACGGAGGGUGCGAGCGUUGCCCGGAAUCACUGGGCGUAAAGGGCGCGUAGGCGGCCUGAUAAGUAGGGGGUGAAAUCCUGCGGCUUAACCGCAGGGCUGCCUUCUAAACUGUCGGGCUAGAGCACGGUAGAGGCAGAUGGAAUUCCCGGUGUAGCGGUGGAAUGCGUAGAGAUCGGGAAGAACAUCAGUGGCGAAGGCGGUCUGCUGGGCCGUUGCUGACGCUGAGGCGCGACAGCGUGGGGAGCAAACAGG